Molecule: ribosomal RNA, 292 nt
Filed under: uncultured bacterium
Lineage: Bacteria
Description: partial 16S ribosomal RNA
Rfam family: Bacterial small subunit ribosomal RNA
Source: RNAcentral
GUGCCAGCCGCCGCGGUAACACGUAGGAUCCGAGCGUUAUCCGAAUUUACUGGGCGUAAAGCGCGUGCAGGCGGCUGGGUAAGUUGGGCGUGAAAUCUCCCGGCUCAACUGGGAGAGGUCGUCCAAAACUACCUAGCUAGAGGGCGGUAGAGGGAGGUGGAAUUCCCGGUGUAGUGGUGAAAUGCGUAGAUAUCGGGAGGAACACCAGUGGCGAAAGCGGCCUCCUGGACCGUACCUGACGCUCAGACGCGAAAGCUAGGGGAGCGAACGGGAUUAGAUACCCGCGUAGUCC